This 144-nucleotide small nucleolar RNA is filed under the name Carlito syrichta (Philippine tarsier). RNAcentral's name for it is "Small nucleolar RNA SNORA23 (ENSTSYG00000022417.2)". It matches the Rfam family "Small nucleolar RNA SNORA23", at positions 35 to 184 of the family's 184-position model. Rfam says of the family: The members of this family belong to the H/ACA class of snoRNAs which are thought to guide the sites of modification of uridines to pseudouridines. This family includes human snoRNA ACA23 (SNORA23) and mouse snoMBI-1. Lineage: Eukaryota; Metazoa; Chordata; Mammalia; Primates; Tarsiidae. The record is from RNAcentral.
GUAUUGGUACAAGCACAGGCAUAUAAAAUGUAACAGGAUCCACACAAGCUUCAUGCAGCCAAAGAGUAGCUCAGGAUCAUAGUACUGGUCUAGUGUUGUCUCUUGACACAUCCACCACUGGCCAGCCUCCAAAUUCCCACACAU